Molecule: ribosomal RNA, 253 nt
Filed under: uncultured bacterium
Lineage: Bacteria
Description: partial 16S ribosomal RNA
Rfam family: Bacterial small subunit ribosomal RNA
Source: RNAcentral
GACGAACCUGACGAACGUUAUUCGGAAUUACUGGGCUUAAAGGGUGCGUAGGCGGUGCGGUCAGUCGGGUGUGAAAUCCCUCGGCUCAACCGAGGAACUGCGCCCGAUACUGCCGUGCUUGAGGGAGACAGAGGUAAGCGGAACUGAUGGUGGAGCGGUGAAAUGCGUUGAUAUCAUCAGGAACACCGGUGGCGAAAGCGGCUUACUGGGUCUCUUCUGACGCUGAGGCACGAAAGCUAGGGUAGCGAACGGG